RNAcentral lists this ribosomal RNA (3129 nucleotides) under Triticum aestivum (bread wheat). RNAcentral's name for it is "partial small subunit ribosomal RNA". The record is from RNAcentral. Lineage: Eukaryota; Viridiplantae; Streptophyta; Magnoliopsida; Poales; Poaceae.
CCACGGAGACGCCGGUCGGUGGCCCUGCUGCAGCUGUCGGUUUCCUUCCCAAGAACUCCACGAGGAAGAGGUGGCCGUCUCUCCAUGGGGGAAGAACCCACCAUGAGCACACGGACGAGACUGGGAUGGUACCUUCCUAAGCAAACCAUGUUGUGGUACUGGCUACGUCUGUUGUUCCGGAAGUUACUCGGUCCAUGGAACCACGAUGACGAAGGCACGCUACCGUCGUCCCCAACAACAAGCCGUAGCCGACGUUUUUGUCGGUACCGGAGUGAACCAGACCAAGUCCCCUCCCACCACGGGUACCACACCGGCGUAACGUUCUACCCGGCGUAGUUGUUCUCCCACGGGAUUCCUUCUCAGUAUACCAGUAAAACCACUGACUCCUACGACCUGUUCUAGAGUAGUGGGUUUCGUACUUAAACACCUGGAACCGUAUAUAAGGAACCAAGUCCCCGAGCGACUGGUGUUCCUGGUUGAACCUCGAGGAGAGACGGGAACGUCCGUAGUGCUGUUGUUCCGGCGACUCCGCUUCGUACCCAAAACCGUGAUGGAUACACAAGGGUACGCUCUUACACUAGUUACUCGUUGGGACAGUUCAACCGGUUUAUUCGUUAGGUACCUACCUAAGAUCGUUAACUAAGUAGGUAGGUAGGUAGAGAUUCCCUUCUUCGUCUUCUUAGUUUCUUCUACCGUUAGAGAUACUCGUCGGACAGUGACUAUAGCCUCCCUACUCCCGUUGCGACCGCCUCGGUUACCCCUAGUACAACGGAUGCCAAGGAGGAGGAUACUGUGGCGUCGGCGACGUUGAACGUGUACACGACCGAUUCUAGGAAGCGAUCCAUAUGGUUGAGUCCUGACGUUCCGUUUAGUGUUAGGUAGUCUGAUGUUGUUGGGAGUAUCGUCUACGUCGAUCGUUUCUACUCUAGGUCCGCUCCCAAGGUGUCGAUUUCUUCAUCGAGAAACUUUGAUUAACGCAUAUACUAAUACUCAUCAACCAACUCUCUCAACGUUUUGAAAGACCACCACACCGGUAGUAGUUCCAACCUCGCUGUUGGCCCGGUCUCGAACUCCUGGCCGUUUACGCCUAGCUCCUGCGCAUCUUAAGGUGGAGAUGCCGGUAGGUCCUCCCGUAACAAAAGCUAUCACCGAACUGAAUACACUUGCACAGAUGGAUACAGGGAUACUAGUUUAUUUGUUAGCUUCUGGUACUACCAACGGAACUACGACUGUAGUAAGACUUCCAUGGAACUACUAAGGUAGCGACCACCACUAGUUCAUCUAUGGACUAUUCCAAGACGGGUAGAUUCCUUCUUCACCUCGACGGGUUUGGAGUUUCCAAUAUGUACGUUGUUCCUCUUAGAUCCUUUAACCGUUGCCCACGUGUUCUAAGCGGAGGACGGGACGAGAAGGCCACCGACUAAGAAGAAGCUGAGACAGCAUCCGCAGUUCAGAGAGGAGACGAGGGAGUACGGACACACGGGUACCGGUAGCUCAACACGGUUCAGCUAACCCUACGGACGUAACUCGGUGAGUAAUACGACUAGUCGUCGUAGAUCGUAUUGACACACGGUGCGUUCUUCUACGUACACCUCGUAAGACACCUGUCACCCUUGAACGACCGGGGGUGUAUGGAGGAACUGGUACCACGACUAUAGUCAGUCCUUCCCCUUCUUCCCCGGUGACAAGGGUCGACGUUUUUACACUACUCGUUACACCACUUCGUUGUUGGGUUGAGGUUCCACCCCGCGCGGGAUACUAUCGCUUUACUACCGUUUCCACUUACCCAGGACCACUUGUAGGGUACUAACUACGACGAAACUCCUCGUACCACGACAGACCGUGUUCAAACCGGUCGCUUCGUCAAAACGGACGAGGCUCCUAGUGAGGCUGCGGAGGGCAAGACGGGGAGGUCACCAACGAAGGAGAAGCCAAGGUCGUAUCGGGGACGAUGUUGAAAAACUCCAGGGAGUAGUGGUUGACAGCUUCUGUAUACCGCGGGGACCUACGUCAACUAGGUUGGUAGGCAGAGGUUCUCCUUCUGCACCUUCUUACUUUCUUCUACCGCUAGAGAUACUCGACUACAUCAACUAGGUAACUAGGUAGGUGUUGAUAAGUAGCCUCCUCUUCCUGGAGAAGAGAAGUAGUUGUAGUUCUCGUUGGUGCUGGGUCGUGAGUUUGUGUCCUCGUUGACCAACCUACGGCCUUCUUCGUUUCUAUAGUGACGACUUCGUCGUGGAAGUUUCUAGGUCUUCUCUGCCGGAAUCUUCUGAUAACUAGUGACGAAACCUUCGUCAAGGGGUUCGCGACCUGAUAGUAGCAGGAGACGAACGAAGAAGAGGAAGGACGAGACGUUGUACCUGGAACAACCAGGACCGCAAGUGGGAACCGCACGUACAUCUGGAUACUUAGAGCAGCCACGCUGAACCACCGGCGGGAGCACCAGAGGCCGCUACCAACAACCCGCGGUACGCACGUUCCAACUUCCGAACCAAACCACGUGCAGCGGAGAUGAUGCUGCGGAAUCGCGCCGCAACGAAACGCCGGAACCGACAACGCUGCUCAUGUUUCACCAACCACGUCACCGAUGCCUAUUCUAGUUUUAGGACCCUCGUGAUGAAACAGCGGUGGGUCCUAAGACUAGAGUCCCACUCCGAUGCCCUCCAUACUUCUUACCGGUACGAAAAUAUAAGUUGUGUUCCUUCCAAACAGAACCAGAACCACACUGGUAAGUAAGUUGGACUUCUUACUGUUGUGUACCUUGCUGGUUGACACUCUUCACCUUCGAAUAAAUCAAACACCACCGCAACCCAAUCGAACAAUCGACACAAACCGAAAACAACUCCUUUACUAAACCAACCUACUACUAUACCCUGGAAAGUAGGUCAGGUCACAUUACUGAACUGAACCCUCACGUACUUACUUAAAACGUUGCUUCCUACGCCACUAAAACUAAGAGGCGGUUGCGCAAUACGACGACUUAAACCUGCUGAACAGGUUUAAAACCGGAACAAACAUUGGUUUCUUUUUGAAAACCCAGAAGACGAAGUUUUAAAACCGGAACUAACAUUGUUUUGGUUUUAAAACCGGAACAGUCAUUACUUUUUCUGCGACUUUACCGAGCGAACG